AUUGAACGCUGGCGGCAUGCUUUACACAUGCAAGUCGAACGGGGUGAGGGGCUUGCUCCUCAUCUAGUGGCGAACGGGUGAGUAAUGCAUCGGAACGUACCUUCAAGUGGGGGAUAACGCACCGAAAGGUGUGCUAAUACCGCAUAUCCUGUGAGCAGGAAAGCAGGGGAUUUUAGGACCUUGUGCUUGGAGAGCGGCCGAUGUCGGAUUAGCUAGUUGGUGGGGUAAAGGCCCACCAAGGCAACGAUCCGUAGCGGGUUUGAGAGGAUGAUCCGCCACACUGGGACUGAGACACGGCCCCGACUCCUACGGGAGGCAGCAGUGGGGAAUUUUGGACAAUGGGGGCAACCCUGAUCCAGCCAUGCCGCGUGAGUGAAGAAGGCCUUCGGGUUGUAAAGCUUUUUUGUCCGGGAGCAAAUCCUGGUGGCUAAUACCCGCCGGGGAUGAGAGUACCAGGGAGAAUAAGCACCGGCUAACUACGUG
RNAcentral lists this ribosomal RNA (483 nucleotides) under uncultured bacterium. RNAcentral's name for it is "bacterial SSU rRNA". It matches the Rfam family "Bacterial small subunit ribosomal RNA", at positions 30 to 507 of the family's 1533-position model. The record is from RNAcentral.